RNAcentral lists this transfer RNA (81 nucleotides) under Klenkia brasiliensis. RNAcentral's name for it is "tRNA_Leu_TAG". It matches the Rfam family "tRNA". Rfam says of the family: Transfer RNA (tRNA) molecules are approximately 80 nucleotides in length. Their secondary structure includes four short double-helical elements and three loops (D, anti-codon, and T loops). Lineage: Bacteria; Bacillati; Actinomycetota; Actinomycetes; Geodermatophilales; Geodermatophilaceae. RNAcentral also lists the same sequence under 9 other names. The record is from RNAcentral.
GCGGGAGUGGUGUAACGGCAGCCACGCCAGGUUUAGGUCCUGGUGCCUUCGGGCGUAGGGGUUCGACUCCCCUCUCCCGCA